This 784-nucleotide ribosomal RNA is filed under the name uncultured Neocallimastigales. RNAcentral describes it as "partial large subunit ribosomal RNA". It matches the Rfam family "Eukaryotic large subunit ribosomal RNA", at positions 24 to 646 of the family's 3401-position model. The record is from RNAcentral. Lineage: Eukaryota; Fungi; Neocallimastigomycota; Neocallimastigomycetes; Neocallimastigales.
UUAUCUCUGUAGAGUCUGCAUAUCAAUAAGCGGAGGAAAAGAAACUAACUAGGAUUCCCUUAGUAACGGCGAGUGAAGCGGGAAGAGCUCAAAUUUGAAAUCUUCAAGGUUCUACCUUGACGAAUUGUAGUUUAAAGAAGUGUUUUCUGUUAGUGAAUUUGGCUAAAAGUUCUUUGGAAAUAGGACAUCAAUAGAGGGUGAGAAUCCCGUAGUUUGUACAUUCCUUCUAGCUUUGUGAUACACUUUCAAAGAGUCGGAUUGUUUGGGAAUGCAGUCCAAAAUGGGUGGUAAAUUUCAUCUAAAGCUAAAUAUUGGCGAGAGACCGAUAGCGAACAAGUACCGUGAGGGAAAGAUGAAAAGAACUUUGAAAAGAGAGUUAAACAGUACGUGAAAUUGUCAAAAGGGAAGCGUUUGACACCAGUGUUGUUUUCUCGAAAAUCAAUUAAAAGAAUGUUUGAUUUUUGAGUAGUUAUGACUUCAUCAGCUUUCUGCACUUUCUUUAUGUACUUUCUUAAUGCACUUUUCGUUAACAAGUCAACAUCAAUUUCUUUUGUUGUAAAAGAGUAUGAGGAAGGUGGCUUUCUUUUCGGAGAAAGUGUUUAUAGCCUUGGACUUCUGCAAUCGGAGAGAUUGAGGUCUGCAGCGUAGAUCCUUCGGGGUUAGAUACACUUGUGCUAAGUUAUAGCUUUUCAUAGACAACUUGUUGAUUAUGAUUCAGUCAUUGUAGCUUACUCGCUUAUGCUAUUUUACCUACGCUUAGGAUGUUGAUGUGAUACUGCGAGCA